CGGCCUACACCUAGAAGGAAGGCUAGCCUACCUACUUACCCUGAUCGAGUGAUGAGAGAGAGAUUUCGACUACCGUAAAACACUUGAAACUCCUUCACUCUUCGAGGAAAAUGAACUAUCAGAGAACAGUUGUCAAGUCGAAAUAGAAUUGAAUAGAUGAAGAGGGAGAGAAAGGUAGUAUUUAGCCAAAAGAGAAGAAGAAAGAAAGGCAAUAUUCGGCCACAAAAAAAGAGGAAAUAACUAAAGGCUAUUCGACCAAAAUAGAAAGGGCAUAAAGGGAAAAGAAAAAAAACAAAACGAACAAACCUGAGAGGUACUUUGAAGUCUUUGCAAGAUUCAGCACCAAAAGAAAAAGGAGAAAACAAAAAAUACUCACCUACCGAGGCAGACAAAGAGAAAAAUAAAAUAAAAUAAAAACCAAAAGCUCCUCAAAAGUCGAAAAUGACCCCCAAAACUCCCCCUAGCCGAACUCUCAAGGUUGAAUUACCCCCAAACGGUACAACAGUCCCUCUUCUCAAAUUCCUUGAUUUUCUCCUAAAAACUCUCCCCUUAUCCUUCAUUGAUUCACUCCACACAUUUCUCCUCUACUCCCUCUAUAACCAAUUCAAACUCCAUUUAGCAGUGUUCUAGUCCAACUCCACCACCUACCCAGCUCUAGCAACAAAAUAAAUACUCCCAUGCGCAACCUAGGACUUGAACCUCUAACCUCAUAGUUACACUACACGCCACAUUGCCACAAGACCACAAACUAUUUUUGUG
This 759-nucleotide long non-coding RNA is filed under the name Gossypium raimondii (Peruvian cotton). RNAcentral describes it as "long non-coding RNA (GRAI_LNC001240)". The record is from RNAcentral. Lineage: Eukaryota; Viridiplantae; Streptophyta; Magnoliopsida; Malvales; Malvaceae.